Molecule: ribosomal RNA, 460 nt
Filed under: uncultured bacterium
Lineage: Bacteria
Description: partial 16S ribosomal RNA
Rfam family: Bacterial small subunit ribosomal RNA
Source: RNAcentral
CCUACGGGUGGCAGCAGUGAGGAAUAUUGGUCAAUGGGCGCGAGCCUGAACCAGCCAAGUAGCGUGAAGGAUGACUGCCCUACGGGUUGUAAACUUCUUUUAUAAAGGAAUAAAGUGAGGCACGUGUGUCUUUUUGUAUGUACUUUAUGAAUAAGGAUCGGCUAACUCCGUGCCAGCAGCCGCGGUAAUACAGAGGAUCCGAGCGUUAUCCGGAUUUAUUGGGUUUAACGGGAGCGUAGAUGGGUUGUUAAGUCAGUUGUGAAAGUUUGCGGUUUAACCUUAAAAUUGCAAUUGAAACUGGCAGUCUUGAGUACAGGUGAGGUAGGCGGAAUUCGUGGUGUAGCGGUGAAAUGCGUAGAUAUCACGAAGAACCCCGAUUGCGAAGGCAGCUUACUAAACUGUGACUGACAUUGAUGCUCGAAAGUGUGGGUAUCAAACAGGAUUAGAUACCCCUGUAGUC